Molecule: non-coding RNA, 199 nt
Filed under: Bacillus sp. (in: firmicutes)
Lineage: Bacteria; Bacillati; Bacillota; Bacilli; Caryophanales; Bacillaceae
Source: RNAcentral
ACUAAAUAGUAGGGAAUAGGUGUAAAUGAAGAUCAUAGUUUGAAAUCAUUUACUUAAAAGGGAAGUUUGGUUUAAUUCCAACACGGUCCCGCCACUGUAAUAGAGGAGUAAAUAAGAAGAUGCCACUUAUUAAUUUAGGGAAGGCUUUUAUUUACAAAGAUUCUUAAGUCAGGAGACCUGCCUAUUCUAACGACGCUGU